Molecule: transfer RNA, 74 nt
Filed under: Fidelibacterota bacterium
Lineage: Bacteria; Pseudomonadati; Fidelibacterota
Description: tRNA-Gln
Rfam family: tRNA
About the family: Transfer RNA (tRNA) molecules are approximately 80 nucleotides in length. Their secondary structure includes four short double-helical elements and three loops (D, anti-codon, and T loops).
Source: RNAcentral
UCGGGGAUCGUCUAAUGGCAGGACUCCGGGUUUUGAUCCCGGCAAUCUAGGUUCGAAUCCUAGUCCCUGAACGA